UACGUAGGGGGCUAGCGUUGUCCGGAAUCAUUGGGCGUAAAGCGCGUGUAGGCGGUCCGGUAAGUCCGCUGUGAAAGUCGGGGGCUCAACCCUCGGAUGCCGGUGGAUACUGUCGGGCUUGAGUACGGAAGAGGCGAGUGGAAUUCCUGGUGUAGCGGUGAAAUGCGCAGAUAUCAGGAGGAACACCGGUGGCGAAGGCGGGUCUCUGGGCCGGAACUGACGCUGAGGAGCGAAAGCGUGGGUAGCAAACCGG
This 253-nucleotide ribosomal RNA is filed under the name uncultured bacterium. RNAcentral describes it as "partial 16S ribosomal RNA". It matches the Rfam family "Bacterial small subunit ribosomal RNA", at positions 524 to 776 of the family's 1533-position model. The record is from RNAcentral.